Molecule: ribosomal RNA, 496 nt
Filed under: uncultured bacterium
Lineage: Bacteria
Description: partial 16S ribosomal RNA
Rfam family: Bacterial small subunit ribosomal RNA
Source: RNAcentral
GAUGAACGCUGGCGGCGUGCCUAAUACAUGCAAGUCGAGCGAACAGACGAGGAGCUUGCUCCUCUGACGUUAGCGGCGGACGGGUGAGUAACACGUGGAUAACCUACCUAUAAGACUGGGAUAACUUCGGGAAACCGGAGCUAAUACCGGAUAAUAUAUUGAACCGCAUGGUUCAAUAGUGAAAGACGGUUUUGCUGUCACUUAUAGAUGGACCCGCGCCGCAUUAGCUAGUUGGUAAGGUAACGGCUUACCAAGGCAACGAUGCGUAGCCGACCUGGAGGGGUGAUCGGCCACCCUGGACUUGGAACACGGCCCAGCUCCCAACGGGGGGCAGCGGUGGGAAUUUUGCCGCAAGGGGCGAAAGCCUGACGAGGCAAGGCCGGUGGGUGGUGAAGGGUCUCCGGUUCUAAAACCUCUUUUAUGGGGAAGAAAAAAAUUGUGAAGAAACUAUGCACGGCUGGAGGUAACCCAAUCAGAAGCCCCGGCCUAAUUAGUG